UACGUAGGGUGCGAGCGUUAAUCGGAAUUACUGGGCGUAAAGCGUGCGCAGGCGGCUUCGCAAGUCAGACGUGAAAUCCCCAGGCUCAACCUGGGAACUGCGUCUGAUACUGGAUGGCUUGAAUCCGGGAGAGGGAUGCAGAAUUCCAGGUGUAGCGGUGAAAUGCGUAGAUAUCUGGAGGAAUACCGGUGGCGAAGGCGGCAUCCUGGACCGGCAUUGACGCUGAGGAGCGAAAGCUAGGGGAGCAAACGGG
This 253-nucleotide ribosomal RNA is filed under the name uncultured bacterium. RNAcentral's name for it is "partial 16S ribosomal RNA". It matches the Rfam family "Bacterial small subunit ribosomal RNA", at positions 524 to 776 of the family's 1533-position model. The record is from RNAcentral.